This 519-nucleotide ribosomal RNA is filed under the name uncultured bacterium. RNAcentral describes it as "partial 16S ribosomal RNA". It matches the Rfam family "Bacterial small subunit ribosomal RNA", at positions 28 to 507 of the family's 1533-position model. The record is from RNAcentral.
GACGAACGCUGGCGGCGUGCCUAAUACAUGCAAGUCGAGCGAGUCUGCCUUGAAGAUCGGAGUGCUUGCACUCUGUGAAACAAGAUACAGGCUAGCGGCGGACGGGUGAGUAACACGUGGGUAACCUGCCCAAGAGAUCGGGAUAACACCUGGAAACAGAUGCUAAUACCGGAUAACAACAGAUGAUGCCUAUCAACUGUUUAAAAGAUGGUUCUGCUAUCACUCUUGGAUGGACCUGCGGUGCAUUAGCUAGUUGGUAGGGUAACGGCCUACCAAGGCGAUGAUGCAUAGCCGAGUUGAGAGACUGAUCGGCCACAUUGGGACGGAGACACGGCCCAAACUCCUACGGGAGGCAGCAGUAGGGAAUCUUCCACAAUGGACGCAAGUCUGAUGGAGCAACGCCGCGUGAGUGAAGAAGGGUUUCGGCUCGUAAAGCUCUGUUGUUGGUGAAGAAGGACAGGGGUAGUAACUGACCUUUGUUUGACGGUAAUCAAUUAGAAAGUCACGGCUAACUACGUG